Molecule: ribosomal RNA, 397 nt
Filed under: uncultured bacterium
Lineage: Bacteria
Description: bacterial SSU rRNA
Rfam family: Bacterial small subunit ribosomal RNA
Source: RNAcentral
GAACGAGACCUUCGGGUCUAGUGGCGCACGGGUGCGUAACGCGUGGGAAUCUGCCCUUGGGUUCGGAAUAACAGUUAGAAAUGACUGCUAAUACCGAAUGAUGUCGUAAGACCAAAGAUUUAUCGCCCAGGGAUGAGCCCGCGUAGGAUUAGCUAGUUGGUGUGGUAAAGGCGCACCAAGGCGACGAUCCUUAGCUGGUCUGAGAGGAUGAUCAGCCACACUGGGACUGAGACACGGCCCAGACUCCUACGGGAGGCAGCAGUGGGGAAUAUUGGACAAUGGGCGAAAGCCUGAUCCAGCAAUGCCGCGUGAGUGAUGAAGGCCUUAGGGUUGUAAAGCUCUUUUACCCGGGAUGAUAAUGACAGUACCGGGAGAAUAAGCUCCGGCUAACUCCGUG